Molecule: ribosomal RNA, 1313 nt
Filed under: Sphenarium purpurascens
Lineage: Eukaryota; Metazoa; Arthropoda; Insecta; Orthoptera; Pyrgomorphidae
Description: 16S ribosomal RNA
Rfam family: Archaeal large subunit ribosomal RNA (bases 880-1242)
Source: RNAcentral
UUUUAUAAUAUUAUUUAAGUUAAUUGGUUAAAUUAAUUUUUAAUAGAAUUAACUUUAAUUAUUUAUGUCUAAGUAUUUUUUAAAGAAUUGAUUGAGUUAAUUAUAGUUAAUAAGUAAUGUAAUUGGAUUAAUAAUUUUAUAAGAAUUUUUAAAGUACUUUUUUUUUAGGUACCUUUUGUAUCAGGGUUGAUAAAUAUUUUUGUAUUUAGUAAUACUUAUCUCGAUUUAGGUUGAUUUAUAAUUGGAUUUUAUUUUAUUGUAUCAUAAUUAUUUAAAAUUUAAUUAUAGAAAUGAAAUGUUAUUCGUUUCCUAAAAUAUCUAGUUUUUCAAGAAAAAAUUAAAUUUUUUAAAGUUUAUUGAUUAUUGAUUAUUUAUUAUUUUUUAUUAUAAACUUAUUUAUACUUUAGGGGAUAAGCAGCUCUUAAGUUGUUUUACUCUAUAAAUUUAUUUAAAUUAUUUAAUAGUAGGCUUUUAACCAGCAGAUCUAUUUGAUUACGUUUUAGUUCAUUUUAAAAUUUAUGAUUUUAUAAAAUUUUUAGAUUUUUUAUUGGAAUGUUUUAAUAAAUUUUAAAUUAUUUGUAAUAAUGAUUAAAUUAGUAUAUUUAUUUAUUUAAAUUAUUUUUAAUUAAAAUUUAUUUUAAGGAAUUAGGCAAAAAACUCUUCGCCUGUUUAUCAAAAACAUGUCUUUUUGAUUAUAAUUUAAAGUCUAAUCUGCUCACUGAAUUAAAUUUUAAAGAGCCGCGGUAUUUUGACCGUGCAAAGGUAGCAUAAUCAAUAGUCUUUUAAUUGAAGGCUGGAAUGAAUGGUUUGACGAAAGGGUGACUGUCUCAAAUAUUAAUUAAUAAAAUUUAACUUUUAAGUUAAAAGGCUUAAAUUAAACUUAAAGACGAGAAGACCCUAUAGAGCUUUAUUAAUUAAUUAAGAAUAUUUUUUGAUAAUUUAUUUUAUUAAUUAAUUAAUUAAUUUUGUUGGGGUGACAUAAAGAAUAAUUAAACUCUUUAUAUUUAUAUCAUUUAUAUAUGAAAGUUUGAUCCAUAAAUUGUGAUUAAAAGAUUAAGUUACCUUAGGGAUAACAGCGUAAUUAUUUUUUAGAGUUCAUAUCAUAAAAGUAGAUUGCGACCUCGAUGUUGGAUUAAGAGAAGUUUUAGGUGUAUCAGUUUAAAAACUAGGUCUGUUCGACCUUUAAAAUCUUACAUGAUCUGAGUUCAGACCGGUGUAAGCCAGGUCGGUUUCUAUCUUAAGUUAAUAUUUUAUAUUAGUACGAAAGGACCAUAUAAUUGAAAUAAUUUUUAUAAUCUGAUUUAUAUUAAUUU